UUGCUAGUAAUCGCAGAUCAGCAUGCUGCGGUGAAUACGUUCCCGGGCCUUGUACACACCGCCCGUCAAACCAUGAGAGUUGGCAACACCCGAAGUCGGUAGUCUAACCGCAAGGAGGACGCCGCCGAAGGUGGGGUUGAUGAUUAGGGUUAAGUCGUAACAAGGUAAC
Molecule: ribosomal RNA, 169 nt
Filed under: uncultured bacterium
Lineage: Bacteria
Description: partial 16S ribosomal RNA
Rfam family: Bacterial small subunit ribosomal RNA
Source: RNAcentral